Molecule: transfer RNA, 70 nt
Filed under: Cavia porcellus (domestic guinea pig)
Lineage: Eukaryota; Metazoa; Chordata; Mammalia; Rodentia; Caviidae
Rfam family: tRNA
About the family: Transfer RNA (tRNA) molecules are approximately 80 nucleotides in length. Their secondary structure includes four short double-helical elements and three loops (D, anti-codon, and T loops).
Source: Rfam by way of RNAcentral
GUGUAGCUCAGCAAGCGUAAGUGCCUGCUUGGAAAGCAUGAGGUUGUGGGUUCAAUCCCCACAACACACA